RNAcentral lists this ribosomal RNA (253 nucleotides) under uncultured bacterium. Its description in RNAcentral is "partial 16S ribosomal RNA". It matches the Rfam family "Bacterial small subunit ribosomal RNA", at positions 524 to 776 of the family's 1533-position model. The record is from RNAcentral.
UACGGGGGGGGUAAGCGUUGUUCGGAAUUACUGGGCGUAAAGGGCGCGUAGGCGGCCUGUUAAGUCGAACGUGAAAUCCCCGGGCUCAACCCUGGGCCUGCAUUCGAUACGGGCAGACUAGAGUUCGGUAGGGGAGACUGGAAUUCCUGGUGUAGCGGUGAAAUGCGCAGAUAUCAGGAGGAACACCGGUGGCGAAGGCGGUUCUCUGGGCAUGUCCUGACGCUGAGGAGCGAAAGUGUGGGGAGCGAACAGG